AGUCGAACGAACUCUUCGGAGUUAGUGGCGGACGGGUGAGUAACACGUGGGAACGUGCCUUUAGGUUCGGAAUAACUCAGGGAAACUUGUGCUAAUACCGAAUGUGCCCUUCGGGGGAAAGAUUUAUCGCCUUUAGAGCGGCCCGCGUCUGAUUAGCUAGUUGGUGAGGUAAAGGCUCACCAAGGCGACGAUCAGUAGCUGGUCUGAGAGGAUGAUCAGCCACAUUGGGACUGAGACACGGCCCAAACUCCUACGGGAGGCAGCAGUGGGGAAUCUUGCGCAAUGGGCGAAAGCCUGACGCAGCCAUGCCGCGUGAAUGAUGAAGGUCUUAGGAUUGUAAAAUUCUUUCACCGGGGACGAUAAUGACGGUACCCGGAGAAGAAGCCCCGGCUAACUUCGUGCCAGCAGCCGCGGUAAUACGAAGGGGGCUAGCGUUGCUCGGAAUUACUGGGCGUAAAGGGAGCGUAGGCGGACAUUUAAGUCAGGGGUGAAAUCCCGGGGCUCAACCUCGGAAUUGCCUUUGAUACUGGGUGUCUUGAGUAUGAGAGAGGUAUGUGGAACUCCGAGUGUAGAGGUGAAAUUCGUAGAUAUUCGGAAGAACACCAGUGGCGAAGGCGACAUACUGGCUCAUUACUGACGCUGAGGCUCGAAAGCGUGGGGAGCAAACAGGAUAGA
Molecule: ribosomal RNA, 675 nt
Filed under: Brevundimonas sp.
Lineage: Bacteria; Pseudomonadati; Pseudomonadota; Alphaproteobacteria; Caulobacterales; Caulobacteraceae
Description: bacterial SSU rRNA
Rfam family: Bacterial small subunit ribosomal RNA
Source: RNAcentral